GACGAACGCUGGCGGCGCGCCUAACACAUGCAAGUCGAACGAGCUAGAGAGAGCUUGCUUUCUCAAGCGAGUGGCGAACGGGUGAGUAACGCGUGAGGAACCUGCCUCAAAGAGGGGGACAACAGUUGGAAACGACUGCUAAUACCGCAUAAGCCCACAGGUCGGCAUCGACCAGAGGGAAAAGGAGCAAUCCGCUUUGAGAUGGCCUCGCGUCCGAUUAGCUAGUUGGUGAGGUAACGGCCCACCAAGGCAACGAUCGGUAGCCGGACUGAGAGGUUGAACGGCCACAUUGGGACUGAGACACGGCCCAGACUCCUACGGGAGGCAGCAGUGGGGAAUAUUGCACAAUGGGGGAAACCCUGAUGCAGCGACGCCGCGUGGAGGAAGAAGGUCUUCGGAUUGUAAACUCCUGUUGUUGAGGAAGAUAAUGACGGUACUCAACAAGGAAGUGACGGCUAACUACGUG
This 466-nucleotide ribosomal RNA is filed under the name uncultured bacterium. Its description in RNAcentral is "partial 16S ribosomal RNA". It matches the Rfam family "Bacterial small subunit ribosomal RNA", at positions 28 to 507 of the family's 1533-position model. The record is from RNAcentral.